UGAAACAAGCCUUAUGUGCUUAAUUAAUUCAAGCCCUCUGUACUUUCUCACUUUGACAGAGCGUAUCACACUCGCAAAUGCGAUAAAGGAGACUUUUAUG
RNAcentral lists this non-coding RNA (100 nucleotides) under Pseudolactococcus raffinolactis. RNAcentral describes it as "Lactococcus raffinolactis PreQ1-II sequence". It matches the Rfam family "PreQ1-II (pre queuosine) riboswitch aptamer". From Rfam's summary of the family: Q is a hyper modified nucleoside present in some anticodons in tRNAs (Try, Asn, Asp and His). Lineage: Bacteria; Bacillati; Bacillota; Bacilli; Lactobacillales; Streptococcaceae. The record is from RNAcentral.